GUCCCAUCUCGAACCCGGAAGUGAAAGGUCUUAGUGCCGAUGGUACUUCGUCUUAAGGCGCGGAAGAGUAGGUCGUCGCCAGAU
RNAcentral lists this ribosomal RNA (84 nucleotides) under Kordiimonadaceae bacterium. Lineage: Bacteria; Pseudomonadati; Pseudomonadota; Alphaproteobacteria; Kordiimonadales; Kordiimonadaceae. The record is from RNAcentral.